RNAcentral lists this ribosomal RNA (574 nucleotides) under uncultured bacterium. RNAcentral's name for it is "bacterial SSU rRNA". It matches the Rfam family "Bacterial small subunit ribosomal RNA", at positions 8 to 572 of the family's 1533-position model. The record is from RNAcentral.
AGAGUUUGAUCCUGGCUCAGGAUGAACGCUAGCGGCAGGCUUAACACAUGCAAGUCGAAGGGCAACGGGGAGAGUGCUUGCACUCUCUGCCGGCGACUGGCGCACGGGUGAGUAACACGUAUGCAACCUGCCCUCCACAGGGGGACAACCUUCCGAAAGGGAGGCUAAUCCCGCGUAUAUCCCUUGGGGGCAUCCUUGGGGGAGGAAAGGAUUACCGGUGGAGGAUGGGCAUGCGGCGCAUUANGCAGUAGGCGGGGUAACGGCCCACCUAACCGACGAUGCGUAGGGGUUCUGAGAGGAAGGUCCCCCACACUGGUACUGAGACACGGACCAGACUCCUACGGGAGGCAGCAGUGAGGAAUAUUGGUCAAUGGGCGGGAGCCUGAACCAACCAAGCCGCGUGAAGGAAGAAGGCGCCAAGCGUCGUAAACUUCUUUUGUCGGGGAACAAAGGGCGCCACGUGUGGCGUUGUGAGUGUACCCGAAGAAAAAGCAUCGGCUAACUCCGUGCCAGCAGCCGCGGUAAUACGGAGGAUGCGAGCGUUAUCCGGAUUUAUUGGGUUUAAAGGGUGCGU